AUUGAACGCUGGCGGCAGGCCUAACACAUGCAAGUCGAGCGGAUGAAGGGAGCUUGCUCCUGGAUUCAGCGGCGGACGGGUGAGUAAUGCCUAGGAAUCUGCCUGGUAGUGGGGGAUAACGUCCGGAAACGGGCGCUAAUACCGCAUACGUCCUGAGGGAGAAAGGGGGGGAGCUUCGGACCUCACGCUAUCAGAUGAGCCUAGGUCGGAUUAGCGAGUUGGUGGGGUAAAGGCCUACCAAGGCGACGAUCCGUAACUGGUCUGAGAGGAUGAUCAGUCACACUGGAACUGAGACACGGUCUAGACUCCUACGGGAGGCAGAAGUGGGGAAUAUUGGCAACUGGGCGAAAGCCUGAUCCAGCCAUGCCGCGUGUGUGAAGAAGGUCUUCGGAUUGUAAAGCACUUUAAGUUGGGAGGAAGGGCAGUAAGUUAAUACCUUGCUGUUUUGACGUUACCAACAGAAUAAGCACCGGCUAACUUCGUG
This 484-nucleotide ribosomal RNA is filed under the name uncultured bacterium. Its description in RNAcentral is "partial 16S ribosomal RNA". It matches the Rfam family "Bacterial small subunit ribosomal RNA", at positions 30 to 507 of the family's 1533-position model. The record is from RNAcentral.